This 255-nucleotide long non-coding RNA is filed under the name Phoenix dactylifera (date palm). RNAcentral describes it as "long non-coding RNA (PDAC_LNC021035)". The record is from RNAcentral. Lineage: Eukaryota; Viridiplantae; Streptophyta; Magnoliopsida; Arecales; Arecaceae.
UAAGUUUUUGCUGAUCUUCAGAUAUAAAUCUUCUGGUCUUGGGAGGCAGUGUGCUGUGUAAACUAGUCUUGGCAGGCAACGUCGUGCGACCAGUUGCUAUAAUUUUCUGAAGCAAGGUUAUGGAACGUGCUGUUGUCAUGUAAUAUCUGAUGGUACCACAAGUUUCUUUCUUUUCUUUUCUUUUCUUUUUUUUAACCUAAGCGGCUACUCAUAUUUUACAUGUACGAAUACAUUCAAUAAAGUUAAAAAACAAAA